Molecule: ribosomal RNA, 773 nt
Filed under: uncultured Neocallimastigales
Lineage: Eukaryota; Fungi; Neocallimastigomycota; Neocallimastigomycetes; Neocallimastigales
Description: partial large subunit ribosomal RNA
Rfam family: Eukaryotic large subunit ribosomal RNA
Source: RNAcentral
UAUGUGAUCGUCUCUCGCAUAUCAAUAAGCGGAGGAAAAGAAACUAACAAGGAUUCCCCUAGUAACGGCGAGUGAAGCGAGAAGAGCUCAAAUUUGAAAUCUUAAAGGGUUUCCCUUUACGAAUUGUAGUUUAAAGAAGUGUUUUCUGUUGAGGUUUUGGUAAAAGUUCUUUGGAAUAGGACAUCAUAGAGGGUGAGAAUCCCGUAUUUGACCUUUACUUUCAACUUUGUGAUACACUUUCAAAGAGUCGGAUUGUUUGGGAAUGCAGUCCAAAAUGGGUGGUAAAUUUCAUCUAAAGCUAAAUAUUGGCGAGAGACCGAUAGCGAACAAGUACCGUGAGGGAAAGAUGAAAAGAACUUUGAAAAGAGAGUUAAACAGUACGUGAAAUUGUCAAAAGGGAAGCGUUUGACACCAGUGUUGUUUUUCUGAAAAUCAAUUAAAGAACUGUUUAUGCUAAGUUGUUUAGACUUUAUCAGCUAACUGUUUAGUUUUGAGCUUUUCUUUAAUGCACUUUUCAGUUAACAAGUCAACAUCAAUUUCUUUUGCUGUAAAAAAGCUUGAGGAAGGUGGCUUGAGAUUCGUCUUAAGUGUUUAUAGCCUCUUGCCUAUGCAGUCGGAGAGAUUGAGGUCUGCAGCGUAGAUCCUUCGGGGCUAAAUGCAUUUGUGCUAAGUUAUAGCAUUUUAUAGACAACUUGUUGACUAUGAUUUGUCUUGUAGCUUACUCGCUUAUGUUAUUUUACCUACGCUUAGGAUGUUGACACACGCGCGUGCUC